UGUAUAUAUUUUAUGUUUGUCACAGAUCAUGUUUUUGAUUUAUAUGGCAGUAAAAGUAUUUGAUUUGAUUUGAUUUGAUUUUGAUAUUUUAGGAGCGGAAAAUCUAAUAAACAUUGAAUUAAUUUCAACAGAGACAUUAUAUACCUCUGAUUCCAACUACAAUACAAUAGUUUCAGAGGUGUAUCCAUUCGUGUGUGUGUGUGUGUGUGUGUGUGUAAACAUUGGGGGUUCAUAUGUAUGUAAACAGUUAAUGGAUAAGAUCAUAAGAGCCAUUAACGACUUUUAAAUGACAGCUCGACAUACCCUCUCUAGGGACGACAUCAAUAGUCCAAUGUAGGAUACAAAAAUCACAGUUUUUCACUGACACCCCCCGCCUUUUCUUAAUUUGGGAAAUUUAUUGACCAACAAGGGCAUAUGCUAGUAUCAGAAAAUACUUUUUGUGUCAUGGGUCCAUGGGUCCUGUUUUCCCC
This 470-nucleotide long non-coding RNA is filed under the name Mytilus galloprovincialis (Mediterranean mussel). The record is from RNAcentral. Lineage: Eukaryota; Metazoa; Mollusca; Bivalvia; Mytilida; Mytilidae.